CGCACGGGUGAGUAACACGUAUGGAACCUGCCCUAUGCAGGGGGAUAAGCGGAAGAAAUUCCGUCUAAUACCGCAUAACACCUUUAGGAGACAUCUUCUUGGGGUCAAAGGAGGCGACUCCGGCAUAGGAUGGGCAUGCGUCGCAUUAGCUAGUCGGCGGGGUAACGGCCCACCGAGGCGACGAUGCGUAGGGGUUCUGAGAGGAAGGUCCCCCACACUGGUACUGAGACACGGACCAGACUCCUACGGAAGGCAGCAG
RNAcentral lists this ribosomal RNA (259 nucleotides) under uncultured bacterium. RNAcentral's name for it is "partial 16S ribosomal RNA". It matches the Rfam family "Bacterial small subunit ribosomal RNA", at positions 99 to 354 of the family's 1533-position model. The record is from RNAcentral.